UAGCAGUGCAGAGCAGAGACAGGA
Molecule: non-coding RNA, 24 nt
Filed under: Mus musculus (house mouse)
Lineage: Eukaryota; Metazoa; Chordata; Mammalia; Rodentia; Muridae
Source: RNAcentral